UCACCGACAUUUGGGAUCCCUUAACUGC
Molecule: small RNA, 28 nt
Filed under: Bombyx mori (domestic silkworm)
Lineage: Eukaryota; Metazoa; Arthropoda; Insecta; Lepidoptera; Bombycidae
Description: ovarian small RNA-25141
Source: RNAcentral